RNAcentral lists this ribosomal RNA (562 nucleotides) under uncultured bacterium. RNAcentral describes it as "bacterial SSU rRNA". It matches the Rfam family "Bacterial small subunit ribosomal RNA", at positions 338 to 916 of the family's 1533-position model. The record is from RNAcentral.
CCUACGGGAGGCAGCAGUGGGGAAUCUUGCGCAAUGGGGGAAACCCUGACGCAGCGACGCCGCGUGGAGGAUGAAGGCCUUCGGGUUGUAAACUCCUUUUCUUAGGGAAAAUGAUGAUGGUACCUAAGGAAUAAGCCACGGCUAACUCUGUGCCAGCAGCCGCGGUAAGACAGAGGUGGCGAGCGUUGUUCGGAAUUACUGGGCUUAAAGGGCGAGUAGGCGGUGGAGCAAGUCUGAGGUGGAAUCCUAUGGCUUAACCAUAGAACUGCCUUGGAUACUGUUUCACUUGAGUCAGUGAGGGGAGGGCAGAAUUCCCGGUGUAGCGGUGAAAUUCAUAGAUAUUGGGAGGAACACCGGUAGCGAAGGCGGCUUUCUGGUCUGAUACUGACACUGAGACGCGAAAGCGUGGGGAGCAAACAGGAUUAGAUACCCUGGUAGUCCACGCCGUAAACUAUGGGAACUGGGUGUAGGGAGUGUUGACCCUUUCUGUGCCGAAGCUAACGCAUUAAGUUCCCCGCCUGGGGAGUACGGUCGCAAGGCUAAAACUCAAAGGAAUUGACGG